AACCCUCUCACAAAACAACUUUAUUGUUGCUUUGUGGAUGUUGAGUGUUGCUAUUGUUAUAUGGCUCACUUUAAAUAUAUAAGUCACACUUUUUUCAAGCAAGUUGGAUUGACUUGGUGUAAUAAUUUCAUCAUCACAUCAAGGAAAGUAGCAAUACUUGCCAUCUUUUGAAGGGAGAGACUCCUAAACACCCAUAUAUAUUAAUC
This 206-nucleotide unclassified non-coding RNA is filed under the name Puccinia coronata. RNAcentral's name for it is "sequence contains ITS2". The record is from RNAcentral. Lineage: Eukaryota; Fungi; Basidiomycota; Pucciniomycetes; Pucciniales; Pucciniaceae.